RNAcentral lists this ribosomal RNA (429 nucleotides) under uncultured archaeon. Its description in RNAcentral is "bacterial SSU rRNA". It matches the Rfam family "Archaeal small subunit ribosomal RNA", at positions 474 to 903 of the family's 1478-position model. The record is from RNAcentral.
UACCUGCAGCUCAAGUGGUAACCGCUAUUAUUGGGCCUAAAGCGUCCGUAGCCGGUUUGGUAAAUAUCUGGGUAAAUCGUGAGGCUUAACUUCACGAAUUUCGGAUAGACUGCCAGACUUGGGAUCGGGGGAGGUCAGAGGUACUCCAGGGGUAGCGGUGAAAUGUUGUAAUCCUUGGAGGACCACCGGUAGCGAAGGCGCCUGACUAGAACGAGUCCGACGGUGAGGGACGAAGCCCUGGGGCGCAAACCGGAUUAGAUACCCGGGUAGUCCAGGGUGUAAACGAUGUGGGCUUUGUAUUGGAGGUCCCACGUGGGCGUCCAGUGCAGAAGAGAAGUUGUUAAGCCCACCGCCUGGGAAGUGCGGUCGCAAGGCUGAAACUUAAAGGAAUUGGCGGGGGAGCACAGCAACGGGAGGAGCGUGCGGUUU